This is a long non-coding RNA of Juglans microcarpa x Juglans regia, 383 nucleotides long. RefSeq lists it as uncharacterized. The record is from RefSeq and is a predicted model, not a curated record. The transcript has 3 exons. NCBI's taxonomy places the organism in Eukaryota, Viridiplantae, Streptophyta, Magnoliopsida, Fagales, Juglandaceae.
UUGGAUUGUCUCAGUUUCUUUCACAAUUUUCUCUCCAUUUUCCGUCUAGUGCAACCGCAUAUCUGCCAUUGUUUCCAGCCCAAAAUCUAAAAUCACUUCACCCGUUUCCUUUGCACGAAAGCCACUCAAGCCAUAUGGUCCAGAUCUCUGCCCUAGAGUGCCUGUUUCCUUUGCAAAAAAGUCAUUCCAGUUGUUUCUCGUCGACACAACACCACUCAAGGCAAAGAGAAGCCAUUGAAGCUGCUCAGAGAUGGAGGCGACUUGAUGCAGCCAAGGCCCAACUCAAGCAGUAGCCAGUAGCAGCAAUAGCCCGUCGCAGCAGCACUAGAUCUUGCCUUGAGUUUGACAAAAUAGAAACCUGAAUCUUGGAGGCUUGCUUGUCA